GGCAGGGGCACCCCCAACCCCACGAGGCACUGGCUGGAUAGGUGUUGGGUAAAGACCAGGCCCGGCUAUUGCCGGAACCUGAAUGCACGGUCCAUCAAUGGGACUGGGAACGGUGCCCCCUGUUCAAAAAAUUACCCUUAGCGGGUGUAGUGCACUGCCGUUGGGCCAUCGCGACGUUUCGGCUGGGUGCAGCCUUCUUCAGGCUGGCCCAACGUCUUUCUGUUCUCUAUGUUGCCACUCGGGGCCUUUUAUACUGGGCUGUCUCCGCCCCUUUUGUUUCUCUUGAGAUUUCUUUUUCUAAUUUUUUCUGUUUCUCAGCUUUUACGUGAUUCUCCCUUUUUCUAUCUUUCUUUACGUUUUGUCUUUCAACCUCAACCCUUGUUUACUUGUUUUUUUCUAUAUUUUCUUCUUUCUGUUUAUAUGGCACCCCCUGCAUUGUAGACAUCCCGUCCUGUGUUCUUUAUAUUUUCUUUAAUGGCACCCCCUUCCUUUAUAUCCUUUCCAUUUUUUCUGUUUGUGUCACUUAUUCCUUCUUUGUUUAUCUUAUCUUUCUUUGUGUCUUUAACGUGACUUUCUUAUUAUUAUCUUGUGUCUUUUACGUGACUUCCUUAUGCUCUUUCUUGAGUUUUCUUAUCUUUCUUUGUGUCCUUUACGUGACUUUCUUAGUUUCUCUUUUCUUUGUUUGUGUCCCUUUUUCCCUCUUUGUUUUUCUUAUCUUUCUUUGUGUCUUUUACGUGACUUUCUUCUUCCUUUUCUUAGGCUUUAUGUGUCUUUUACGUGACUUUUUCUUAUCUUUCUUUGUGUCCUUUACGUGACUUUCUUAGUUUCUCUUUUCUUUGUUUGUGUCACUUUUUCCCUCUUUGUUUGUCUUAUCUUUCUUUGUGUCUUUUACGUGACCUUCUUCUUCCUUUUCUUAGGUUUGAUAUUGUUCCCUUAGGUGAGGGAUAAGAGGGGGGAGGGGGGGAGGGGGGUCAAAGGGGUUAGGGUUAGGGAAAGUUAGUGGGUGGGGGGAUUCCCAUUCUUAGGGAGUUAUUAGGCAGGGGCACCACCAAUCCCAUGAGGCACAGGCUGGUUAGGUGUUGGGUAAAGACCAGGCCCGGCUAUUGCCGGAACCUGAAUGCACGGUCCAUCAAUGGGACUGGGAACGGUGCCCCCUGUUCAAAAAAUUACCCUUAGCGGGUGUAGUGCACUGCCGUUGGGCCAUCGCGACGUUUCGGCUGGGUGCAGCCUUCUUCAGGCUGGCCCAACGUCUUUCUGUUCUCUAUGUUGCCACUCGGGGCCUUUUAUACUGGGCUGUCUCCGCCCCUUUUGUUUCUCUUGAGAUUUCUUUUUCUAAUUUUUUCUGUUUCUCAGCUUUUACGUGAUUCUCCCUUUUUCUAUCUUUCUUUACGUUUUGUCUUUCAACCUCAACCCUUGUUUACUUGUUUUUUUCUAUAUUUUCUUCUUUCUGUUUAUAUGGCACCCCCUGCAUUGUAGACAUCCCGUCCUGUGUUCUUUAUAUUUUCUUUAAUGGCAAACC
This is a long non-coding RNA of Astatotilapia calliptera (eastern happy), 1519 nucleotides long. The record is from Ensembl. Lineage: Eukaryota; Metazoa; Chordata; Actinopteri; Cichliformes; Cichlidae.